This 495-nucleotide ribosomal RNA is filed under the name uncultured bacterium. RNAcentral describes it as "partial 16S ribosomal RNA". It matches the Rfam family "Bacterial small subunit ribosomal RNA", at positions 28 to 507 of the family's 1533-position model. The record is from RNAcentral.
GACGAACGCUGGCGGCGUGCCUAAUACAUGCAGGUAGAACGCUGAAGGAGGAGCUUGCUUCUCUGGAUGAGUUGCGAACGGGUGAGUAACGCGUAGGUAACCUGCCUGGUAGCGGGGGAUAACUAUUGGAAACGAUAGCUAAUACCGCAUAAUAGUAGAUGUUGCAUGACAUUUGCUUAAAAGGUGCAAUUGCAUCACUACCAGAUGGACCUGCGUUGUAUUAGCUAGUUGGUGGGGUAACGGCUCACCAAGGCGACGAUACAUAGCCGACCUGAGAGGGUGAUCGGCCACACUGGGACUGAGACACGGCCCAGACUCCUACGGGAGGCAGCAGUAGGGAAUCUUCGGCAAUGGACGGAAGUCUGACCGAGCAACGCCGCGUGAGUGAAGAAGGUUUUCGGAUCGUAAAGCUCUGUUGUAAGAGAAGAACGAGUGUGAGAGUGGAAAGUUCACACUGUGACGGUAUCUUACCAGAAAGAGACGGCUAACUACGUG